AUACGAAAGGUGCGAGCGUUGUUCGGAUUUACUGGGCGUAAAGCGAGUGUAGGUGGUUUGUUAAGUCGGAUGUGAAAUCCCGGGGCUCAACCUCGGAACUGCAUUCGAUACUGGCAGGCUAGAGUUCGGGAGGGGUAAGCGGAAUUCCGUGUGUAGCAGUGAAAUGCGUAGAUAUACGGAGGAACACCUGAGGCGAAGGCGGCUUACUGGACCGAUACUGACACUGAGACUCGAAAGCGUGGGUAGCAAACAGGAUUAGAAACCCUUGUAGUCC
RNAcentral lists this ribosomal RNA (274 nucleotides) under uncultured bacterium. Its description in RNAcentral is "partial 16S ribosomal RNA". It matches the Rfam family "Bacterial small subunit ribosomal RNA", at positions 523 to 796 of the family's 1533-position model. The record is from RNAcentral.